UGUUGAUCAUAUCACUUCUUUUUUAAUCUGCUCAAAUUAGUCUCGAUGAACUUUUCUCGGUUCUUGUCCCUUGUCAUGCUACACAUGGUUGCAGUGACAAUGGAUUUGGACUGUCCUUUUGGUGGACCAUACUUGGCUGGCCCAUGCCACAAAAUCCACCCCAGAUCCACUAUCAUUCAGGGUUGGUUUUCUACCAAGGGCCAUCCAUAUGUAGGGCCUCCAGAUUGUCCAACUACACAGCCAUGCAUUGGGGACAGUUCUUUCUACUUGUCUCGAUGGACAGUUAUUAGUUCAUUACAGCUGCAUACGGGCAUACCUUAGGCAUCACAUUGGGACUAUAGUUUUAUAUGGGGAGGAAUUUCAGGAACCUGCUCAUUGACGAACAUAGCGCUUGUUUGGUGUGUGUUAUACAUUUGUGUGUACAGCGUUGUCUGGAAGAAGUGUCCUUUUUUUUUUUUUGCCUGCAUGUAUAGCCCCUUCUUUUGCCACACUGUAUAUAACCCUCUCACUUUUACAUA
Molecule: long non-coding RNA, 518 nt
Organism: Magnolia sinica
Lineage: Eukaryota; Viridiplantae; Streptophyta; Magnoliopsida; Magnoliales; Magnoliaceae
Exons: 2
Source: RefSeq, a predicted model, not a curated record